This 253-nucleotide ribosomal RNA is filed under the name uncultured bacterium. RNAcentral's name for it is "partial 16S ribosomal RNA". It matches the Rfam family "Bacterial small subunit ribosomal RNA", at positions 524 to 776 of the family's 1533-position model. The record is from RNAcentral.
UACAGAGGUCCCAAGCGUUGUUCGGAUUUACUGGGCGUAAAGGGUGCGUAGGUGGCGAAGUAAGUUCGAUGUGAAAUCUCCGAGCUCAACUCGGAAAUGGCAUUGAAUACUAUUUUGCUCGAGGGUCGGAGGGGAGACUGGAAUUCUCGGUGUAGCGGUGAAAUGCGUAGAUAUCGAGAGGAACACCAGUGGCGAAGGCGAGUCUCUGGACGACACCUGACACUGAGGCACGAAAGCUAGGGGAGCAAACAGG